CUGCCUCAAAGUGGGGGAUAGCCUUCCGAAAGGAAGAUUAAUACCGCAUAAUAUAAGAGAAUCGCAUGAUUUUCUUAUCAAAGAUUUAUUGCUUUGAGAUGGACCCGCGGCGCAUUAGCUAGUUGGUAAGGUAACGGCUUACCAAGGCAACGAUGCGUAGCCGACCUGAGAGGGUGAUCGGCCACAUUGGAACUGAGACACGGUCCAGACUCCUACGGGAGGCAGCAGUGGGGAAUAUUGCGCAAUGGGGGAAACCCUGACGCAGCAACGCCGCGUGGGUGAUGAAGGUCUUCGGAUUGUAAAGCCCUGUUUUCUGGGACGAUAAUGACGGUACCAGAGGAGGAAGCCACGGCUAACUACGUGCCAGCAGCCGCGGUAAUACGUAGGUGGCGAGCGUUGUCCGGAUUUACUGGGCGUAAAGGGUGCGUAGGCGGAUGUUUAAGUGGGAUGUGAAAUCCCCGGGCUUAACCUGGGGGCUGCAUUCCAAACUGGAUAUCUAGAGUGCAGGAGAGGAAAGCGGAAUUCCUAGUGUAGCGGUGAAAUGCGUAGAGAUUAGGAAGAACACCAGUGGCGAAGGCGGCUUUCUGGACUGUAACUGACGCUGAGGCACGAAAGCGUGGGUAGCAAACAGGAUUAGAUACCCUGGUAGUCCACGCCGUAAACGAUGGAUACUAGGUGUAGGGGGUAUCAACUCCCCCUGUGCCGCAGUUAACACAAUAAGUAUCCCGCCUGGGGAGUACGGUCGCAAGAUUAAAACUCAAAGGAAUUGACGGGGGCCCGCACAAGCAGCGGAGCAUGUGGUUUAAUUCGAAGCAACGCGAAGAACCUUACCUGGACUUGACAUCCCUUGCAUAGCCUAGAGAUAGGUGAAGCCCUUCGGGGCAAGGAGACAGGUGGUGCAUGGUUGUCGUCAGCUCGUGUCGUGAGAUGUUAGGUUAAGUCCUGCAACGAGCGCAACCCUUGUUAUUAGUUGCUACCAUUAAGUUGAGCACUCUAAUGAGACUGCCUGGGUAACCAGGAGGAAGGUGGGGAUGACGUCAAAUCAUCAUGCCCCUUAUGUCCAGGGCUACACACGUGCUACAAUGGUAGGUACAAUAAGACGCAAGACCGUGAGGUGGAGCAAAACUUAUAAAACCUAUCUCAGUUCGGAUUGUAGGCUGCAACUCGCCUACAUGAAGCUGGAGUUGCU
Molecule: ribosomal RNA, 1189 nt
Filed under: Clostridium botulinum
Lineage: Bacteria; Bacillati; Bacillota; Clostridia; Eubacteriales; Clostridiaceae
Description: bacterial SSU rRNA
Rfam family: Bacterial small subunit ribosomal RNA
Source: RNAcentral